CCUACGGGAGGCAGCAGUGAGGAAUAUUGGUCAAUGGGCGCGAGCCUGAACCAGCCAAGUAGCGUGAAGGAUGACUGCCCUACGGGUUGUAAACUUCUUUUAUAAAGGAAUAAAGUGAGGCACGUGUGCCUUUUUGUAUGUACUUUGUGAAUAAGGAUCGGCUAACUCCGUGCCAGCAGCCGCGGUAAUACGGAGGAUCCGAGCGUUAUCCGGAUUUCUUGGGUUUAAAGGGUGCGUAGAUGGGUUGUUAAGUCAGUUGUGAAAGUUUGCGGCUCAACCGUACAAGUGCAGUUGAUACUGGCAGCCUUGAGUACAGUUGAGGUAGGCGGAAUGCGUGGUGUAGCGGUGAAAUGCUUAGAUAUCACGAAGAACUCCGAUUGCGAAGGCAGCUUACUAACCUGCCACUGACAUUGAUGCACGAAAGUGUGGGUAUCAAACAGGAUUAGAUACCCCUGUAGUC
RNAcentral lists this ribosomal RNA (460 nucleotides) under uncultured bacterium. RNAcentral describes it as "partial 16S ribosomal RNA". It matches the Rfam family "Bacterial small subunit ribosomal RNA", at positions 338 to 795 of the family's 1533-position model. The record is from RNAcentral.